UACCAGCACCCCGAGUGGUCGGGAAGAUUAUUGGGCCUAAAGCAUCCGUAGCCGGUUCUACAAGUCUUCCGUUAAAUCCACCUGCUCAACAGAUGGGCUGCGGAGGAUACUAUGGAGCUAGGAGGCGGGAGAGGCAAGCGGUACUUAGUGGGUAGGGGUAAAAUCCGUUGAUCCAUUGAAGACCACCAGUGGCGAAGGCGGCUUGCCAGAACGCACUCGACGGUGAGGGAUGAAAGCUGGGGGAGCAAACCGG
Molecule: ribosomal RNA, 253 nt
Filed under: uncultured bacterium
Lineage: Bacteria
Description: partial 16S ribosomal RNA
Rfam family: Archaeal small subunit ribosomal RNA
Source: RNAcentral